Molecule: unclassified non-coding RNA, 275 nt
Filed under: Hevea brasiliensis (rubber tree)
Lineage: Eukaryota; Viridiplantae; Streptophyta; Magnoliopsida; Malpighiales; Euphorbiaceae
Source: RNAcentral
AGAAUUUUCAAGAAUUCAACUGCCUAUGGUCAGAUCUACAGAAGGAAACUAACUAUCGGUCCUAUAAGUGUUGUGAUUUAGUUACAUAUAUAUUUUGCUGCAAAAUUUAGAUCAAGGCACCCUUCGAAUACUGACAGAGUUAUGUCCUUGUAUCUAGUGGUAUACAAAUACAAGAAAGAAAAAAGUUACACAACAUAAUACUCUUGCAUCACAUAUUUAAUGAACAUGCUAAGAAGCUAAAUAUUCUAGUCAAUUGUUAAUGGCCACUCCAACUU